Molecule: long non-coding RNA, 1317 nt
Filed under: Homo sapiens (human)
Lineage: Eukaryota; Metazoa; Chordata; Mammalia; Primates; Hominidae
Description: non-protein coding lnc-TMEM187-3:1
Source: RNAcentral
AGCUCAGGCAGCUGUGGUGAAGGCUUCCUGAGCCCGCCGGCAGAGCUCCUGCCACCCCGUACCUGUCCCCUCCUGGGCAUCGUCCUUGAUUACUUGUCUGGACCGCCACCCCCGGUCCCCGCCCUGAGAUGGGGAAGACCCCACAAGCAGCAACGCAGACUUACUCUUUUGUUUCUCCAGCUGGAUGUCUCCUCCAGCGACAGUUCCCCUUGCCCUCUUGAUCCUGACAGCGAAGGGGUUCCCCACCCCUAGCCCUACAGACUUAGGACUUUUCCUAGAAACGAGAAGUGCCCAAGGCCCACAGCUGGCCCCUGUUGGAGUCUCUUUCCUGAAGCCACCACCACUGUGGCCACUCCCAAGGAAGAUGCCAACCAUACCAUGAAACCCAUGGCUUCUCACGGGACAGACUUUACUGAGAUGUACCAACUCAAGUAUCUGAAAUGACUGCACACCCAUGCUAACCUCCACGGGGGCACUUGGUCCUACUUACACACAAAGGCCCAUCAGCUCACGGAACAGGGCUGGCAUACGAGAUGCUCAAUGCAUACAAGUUGACUUUUCAACCCUGGGAUCUACCUUUGAAGGCCAGGCCUUCCGAGGGUACCUUCUAGCAUGUGCAUGUGAAGCUGGACUCCUUUGAGCAGUUGUCUCCUCCAGCCCCUUACCAACCUGGUGAGGCUGCUCCUGAGAGCCAAGGAAGCCAGUAACAAGGGGGCCCCCUUUGGGCAAACCCCUCAGCCUGCCCUUGCCUGGUCAGAGAACCACGUUAGCAGUCAACAGAGGGCACGUGAGGGUCCUGGCCAGAAUGAGACACAGGAGGAGCCACAGCCUGCGGGGGUGGGGGUGUCCAAAAGCACCACAGCACAUCCAGACCUAGGGGGUGCCCCUACCAUACGGGUCUGGAGCAGGGAGGUUGUGCUGCAGGCUGACUCAUGCCAGGCCCUUCCCGUCACACGCUGGAGCAGUGUGCCUGGAGAGCACUGGCUUGGAAGAAGCUGAGGGGCCAGCGAGGCCAGCAUAUGGAGGAGGCUUCCCUUGGCCGCUCGUGGCAGGCCUGAAGGCAGCUACCUGUGUCCAGGGACAGCCAGAUCCAAUGAGGAAACGCAGCACCAUGCUGUCAUGUGAGCUGGAGGGGGACUUCUGUCUUAUAAUGAAAGCCCAGACCUUGAGUCACUUUCACAGAGAGAUUUAUCGAGAAUGCUAACAGCACAGGAUACAGUACUUCCCAACAAAAGGUGCAAACGCGUCACUUAGAAAGGCAUGCUGAGUAUUCUUUGCUUUCACAUGUAUUAAAAAACUUACAAAAAUAAAAUAAAA